This is a transfer RNA of Candidatus Magnetobacterium bavaricum, 72 nucleotides long. It matches the Rfam family "tRNA". Rfam says of the family: Transfer RNA (tRNA) molecules are approximately 80 nucleotides in length. Their secondary structure includes four short double-helical elements and three loops (D, anti-codon, and T loops). Further hydrogen bonds mediate the characteristic L-shaped molecular structure. tRNAs have two regions of fundamental functional importance: the anti-codon, which is responsible for specific mRNA codon recognition, and the 3' end, to which the tRNAs corresponding amino acid is attached (by aminoacyl-tRNA synthetases). tRNAs cope with the degeneracy of the genetic code in two manners: having more than one tRNA (with a specific anti-codon) for a particular amino acid; and 'wobble' base-pairing, i.e. permitting non-standard base-pairing at the 3rd anti-codon position. The record is from Rfam. NCBI's taxonomy places the organism in Bacteria, Pseudomonadati, Nitrospirota, Thermodesulfovibrionia, Thermodesulfovibrionales, Magnetobacteriaceae (SeqCode).
UGUCACGUAACUCAGCGGUAGAGUUCUUCUCUGAUAAGGAAGCGGUCAUAGGUUCAAAUCCUAUCGUGACAA